CAGUCGCCGCGGUAAUACAGAGGGUGCGAGCGUUAAUCGGAUUUACUGGGCGUAAAGCGUGCGUAGGCGGCUUUUUAAGUCGGAUGUGAAAUCCCUGAGCUUAACUUAGGAAUUGCAUUCGAUACUGGGAAGCUAGAGUAUGGGAGAGGAUGGUAGAAUUCCAGGUGUAGCGGUGAAAUGCGUAGAGAUCUGGAAGAAUACCGAUGGCGAAGGCAGCCAUCUGGCCUAAUACUGACGCUGAGGUACGAAAGCAUGGGGAGCAAACAGGAUUAGAUACCCGCGUAGUCCCUGUCUCUUAUAC
This 301-nucleotide ribosomal RNA is filed under the name uncultured bacterium. Its description in RNAcentral is "partial 16S ribosomal RNA". It matches the Rfam family "Bacterial small subunit ribosomal RNA", at positions 509 to 807 of the family's 1533-position model. The record is from RNAcentral.